This 1119-nucleotide ribosomal RNA is filed under the name Triticum aestivum (bread wheat). Its description in RNAcentral is "partial small subunit ribosomal RNA". Lineage: Eukaryota; Viridiplantae; Streptophyta; Magnoliopsida; Poales; Poaceae. The record is from RNAcentral.
AUGUUGAGGGCCGUGGCGAGGUGCUGCGGGCACUGGCCGCCGGGCGCCGCGGCGGCGGACGGCAUGCUCUGGCAGACGGAGCUGCGGCCGCACGCGGCGGGGGAGUUCUCCAUGGCCGCCGCGCAGGCCAACCUCGUCAUGGAGGACCAGGCGCAGGUGCUCGCCUCCCCCUCCGCCACGCUCGUCGGCGUCUACGACGGCCAUGGCGGCCCCGACGCCUCCCGCUUCCUCCGCUCCGCCCUCUUCCCCCACGUCCAGCGCUUCGCCAAGGAGCAGGGGGGCGUGACCGCGGAGGCGAUCCGGCGGGCGUUCGGCGCGGCGGAGGAGGACUUCCUGCACGAGGUCCGGCAGGCCUGGCCCAAGCGCCCGCGCAUGGCCGCCGUCGGCUCCUGCUGCCUGCUCGGGGCCAUCGCGGGGGACACGCUCUACGUCGCCAACCUCGGCGACUCCCGCGCCGUCCUCGGCCGCCGCGUCGUCGGCGGCGGGGUGGCCGUCGCCGAGCGCCUCUCCACCGACCACAACGUCGCCUCCGAGGAGGUCCGGAUGGAGGUCUCCUCGCACAACCCGGACGACGCGCAGAUCGUGGUGCACACCAGGGGGGCCUGGAGGAUCAAGGGGAUAAUUCAGGUGUCAAGAUCCAUUGGUGAUGUAUACUUGAAGAAACCGGAGUAUAGCCUGGACCCAUUAUUUCGGCAGAUCGGCCCUGUUAUUGCGUUGAAGAGGCCAGCUCUUAGCGCUGAACCACAAAUUCAUGUUCGCAAGCUCAAACCAAACGAUCAGUUCAUAAUAUUUGCCUCGGACGGUCUUUGGGAGCAUCUCAGCGAUGAUGCUGCUGUGCAAAUUGUCUUCAAGAACCCAAGAACGGGUAUAGCAAACCGACUAGUGCGGGCUGCCUUGAAGGAGGCCACGAAGAAGAGAGAGGUCAGUGUGCAUGACCUGAGGACGAUAGAGCGGGGCGUGCGGCGCCAUUUCCACGACGACAUCAGCGUCGUCGUGGUGUACCUCGACCGGCACCGGGGUCGCCGUCAGACCAGGGUGGUGGACUCGAGCAGCAACUGCACCAGCGCCCCCGUCGACGUCUACUCCUCCUCCAGCUCGGCUUACCGCGACUCCGGUUAG